This is a non-coding RNA of Chelonoidis abingdonii (Abingdon island giant tortoise), 1165 nucleotides long. NCBI's taxonomy places the organism in Eukaryota, Metazoa, Chordata, Testudines, Testudinidae. The record is from RefSeq and is a predicted model, not a curated record.
AGAGGUGCCAUGGGAAAAAUGCGUGACAGGGCCCUGGGCUAAUACCCAGCAGUCGGAGCUCAGCAGAGCAGCAUGCGGUCACCAGGCCCUGCAGUGCUGUAGCCGAGGUCUGGAGAGCAGCGGAGGGCUCUGGGCUGGAAUAGCAGGGCAGGAGUGCUGGAAGCCGGGACCGAGAUGCAUUGGCAGGGCUGAGGGAAGCCCAGGCCUGAUGAAGCCGUGGGCAGAGACGUGAGUGGAGCGAUUGGGACAGGAUUCGCCAGGUGGGGCCGGGGGUUGGACGUGAGGUGCAUUAGCAGAGCAAUCCCAGGCUAUGGAACAGCAGGGGCAGCUGCAGUGCAAGGCUGACAUGCACCGAACAAGCUGGGAAUAAAGGGGAAUUUACACAGCUGCAGCCCUUGCUGUAUCGCCCCCUCUUCAGUGCUUAGCAGUAUCCCAUUGAGCGGCUUUCUGCUCCUUCCCUAGGGUUUGGAGCUGGGCGGAUGCCCAGGGCCGCUCUCCCAUCUGCACUCUUUAGCUCCCAGUCAGGGGAAGGGGGCCGGCAGGGAGUCAGCCAGGGCACAUCCUUAGCAAUUGAGCUUGGAAAACAGCUUCGGUUGGAUUUGGGGCAGAUCUGGUUUUAUCUGAGCUGGUUCACACAUACUCCACUUACCUGAAGCCCUCUGUGUACAAAACGCCCGAGGCUGAGCGGAGCCCCUCCACCCCCAAUCCCCUCCACCAGACCCAAGGUGCCAUCCCUGUGAUGCAGGGAGAUCACCCAUCUGGUGUCUGCAGAUGUUGCCGGGGCAGGGGCUGGGGUCAAAGAAAGGCACUUCAGUGAGCGCCGCCCCAUUCAUUCCUCUUCCUGGGGUAGCUGUUCUCCAGCCAAUGAAGCCGGGACAUCACACCGGCUGAGUUUGUGCUGUGGGUGCACAGGGCAGGCUGGGCUCAUUCAGAACACAGCUUGGGUGGGAUGAGUUCCGCUCACUGAGGGUUAUGCUCAGCAGACGCUGGAGCCAGAUCACGGCACAUUGGAAAGAAAAAUGAGGUCUUUCCCAGCUCCAAGCCCGCCCCCUCCAGAUUUCUCUGCACUAACCAACCCUCAACCAGAUCCCAGGUUCAAAUCCUAUGCAUAGCUCGAGCGGGCAGGUGGGGAUUACACAUGGACAACAAAAGUGAUGGGAAAUCU